Molecule: signal recognition particle RNA, 299 nt
Filed under: Cebus imitator (Panamanian white-faced capuchin)
Lineage: Eukaryota; Metazoa; Chordata; Mammalia; Primates; Cebidae
Description: Metazoan signal recognition particle RNA (ENSCCAG00000003969.1)
Rfam family: Metazoan signal recognition particle RNA
About the family: The signal recognition particle (SRP) is a universally conserved ribonucleoprotein.
Source: RNAcentral
GCCAGGCACAGUGGCACGUGCCUGUAGUCCCAGCUAUUUGGGAGACCGAGGCUGGAGGAUCUCUUGAGUCCAGGAGUCCUGGGCUGUAGUGCGCUAUGCCCAUCGGGUGUCUGCACUAAGUUCGGCAUCAAUAUGGUGACCUCCCAGGAGUGGGGGACCACCAGGUUGCCUAAGGUGGGGUGAACCGGCCCAGGUUGGAAACGGAGCAGGUCAAAACUCCCGUGCUGAUCAGUAGUGGGAUCAUGACUGUGAAUAGCAACUGCACUCCAGCCUGGGCAACAUAGUGAGACCCUGUCUCU